This is a long non-coding RNA of Mytilus trossulus (common blue mussel), 422 nucleotides long. RefSeq lists it as uncharacterized. NCBI's taxonomy places the organism in Eukaryota, Metazoa, Mollusca, Bivalvia, Mytilida, Mytilidae. The transcript has 4 exons. The record is from RefSeq and is a predicted model, not a curated record.
ACAUGCACAGCUGCAUUUUCUCAUGUAGUUCAUUAACACGUGCUGGUAUGCAUGUAGACACAAACAUGUGCACUAUAUAAAGGGACGGAAUAUAUUGUCGAAGUUGUCACUAAGAAACACUAGGACAGGAAAACAAACCCGUUUAACAAUGAAAUACAUCUUUGCUCUCUUGGUUUUGUUGCCAAUUGUGUUCUGUGCCCCCAACGAAAGAUUCAUUUUGGAUACUUUUGGACUUGACAGUGUAUUGAAGCAAGUCGAGGUGUUUGCCCACUCAGGUAUGGCACCAGAUCUCUGCACAAGUGAAUGCCAAAAACUCGUUCACGGAUUCCUUGGAAGCAUGUGCGGAACAGCUUGUACAACUGUCCUCAACUUACUGAAGUAGGAGACUAACAUGAUCGUUUGAAUACAAGUGAACAAUGUAA